AACGAACGCUGGCGGCAGGCCUAACACAUGCAAGUCGAGCGCCCCGCAAGGGGAGCGGCGCACGGGUGAGUAACACGUAGGUAACCUGCCCCCCAGUCUGGAACAACUAGAGGAAACUCUAGCUUAUGCCGGAUGAGACCACGAUCCCUUCGGGGGUUGCGGCCAAAGAUGGCCUCUACUUGUAAGCUAUCGCUGAGGGAUGGGCCUGCGGGCCAUUAGCUUGUUGGUGAGGUAACGGCUCACCAAGGCUGUGAUGGCUAGCUGGUCUGAGAGGAUGACCAGCCACACUGGGACUGAGACACGGCCCAGACUCCUACGGGAGGCAGCAGUGGGAAUAUUGCGCAAUGGGCGAAAGCCUGACGCAGCGACGCCGCGUGGGUGAUGAAGGCC
RNAcentral lists this ribosomal RNA (390 nucleotides) under uncultured bacterium. RNAcentral describes it as "bacterial SSU rRNA". It matches the Rfam family "Bacterial small subunit ribosomal RNA", at positions 29 to 416 of the family's 1533-position model. The record is from RNAcentral.